CGUGUGGUUCUAUUUUGUUGGUUUCUAGGACCGCCGUAAUGAUUAAUAGGGAUAGUCGGGGGCAUCAGUAUUCAAUCGUCAGAGGUGAAAUUCUUGGAUUGAUUGAAGACUAACUACUGCGAAAGCAUUUGCCAAGGAUGUUUUCAUUAAUCAGUGAACGAAAGUUAGGGGAUCGAAGACGAUCAGAUACCGUCGUAGUCUUAACCAUAAACUAUGCCGACUAGGAAUCGGGCGAUGUUGACAAAAUGACUCGCUCGGCACCUCAUGGGAAACCAAAGUGUUUGGGUUCCGGGGGGAGUAUGGUCGCAAGGCUGAAACUUAAAGGAAUUGACGGAAGGGCACCACCAGGGGUGGAGCCUGCGGCUUAAUUUGACUCAACACGG
This 383-nucleotide ribosomal RNA is filed under the name uncultured fungus. RNAcentral describes it as "SSU rRNA". It matches the Rfam family "Eukaryotic small subunit ribosomal RNA", at positions 827 to 1208 of the family's 1831-position model. Lineage: Eukaryota; Fungi. The record is from RNAcentral.